This is a non-coding RNA of Brachypodium distachyon (stiff brome), 130 nucleotides long. The record is from RefSeq and is marked provisional. Lineage: Eukaryota; Viridiplantae; Streptophyta; Magnoliopsida; Poales; Poaceae.
UCAUCAAGUAUAUUACGCGGCAUGGUAUUAGAGCAAGUUGCCAAAUCUGGCUGCCAUGACAAUUGGUGAUGGUGAUGGUAUUGUUUUGGUGACCUGCUCUGAUACCAUGUUGUGAAAUAUUUUUAAUGCA